Oncorhynchus kisutch (coho salmon) is the source of this 4755-nucleotide RNA transcript. It is a transcript of the gene named cyclin-T2, with no coding region annotated. The record is from RefSeq and is a predicted model, not a curated record. Lineage: Eukaryota; Metazoa; Chordata; Actinopteri; Salmoniformes; Salmonidae. The transcript is spliced from 10 exons.
AAACAGCCCAUCUAUCUACCUACCUAGUUACGUUACGUUGGCUGACAAUUUGUGUACAGUGACCUAAUACAUCGAACUUGCCAGGCAGUAUAUUAACUAUCUGCUGUCUAACUAUCCAACAUUUUUUGGCUUGAUUAUUCACAUCAUUCUUAGCUAAGUGGUAUAGUCGUUGUGCGUUUCAAUAGACUGUUAAUUCUGGCUAUCUACUCCGAUUUCAGAGCGCUCUCAGCAGAAUAACUGAUGAAUUUACAAACACUCAGUUGUUGACAGCAACACAGUUACAGUCAUCUAUGCUCUGGAUGACACGAAAACAGUCUAAUCAGCUCUGCAAGGGGGAGUAAAAUGGUCAGAGCGAGAACACGUAGCUAGCCAACGUUAGCCAGUUAGCUUGGGUGCUUGACUGCCGUUGAACGAUCAGAUCAACCCUGUAAACACUCUGGAUUUAUGAAUGCCCAGAGCACACUCUGGCACCCCAGAUUGAAUUUACAAACACACCCGAAAUCGUAAAAUGUUUAGCUAGUAAUUUGUCAUGCUAACCAGCUAGCAAUAGGUUGCAUAGCAACGUUAUCCGCUUCCGGUAGACAGGCGAUGCGCAAGUACUCUCAACUGAAACGAUACCGUUUGUUUACAUUAUACUAAAAUGAACAAAUAGUAUGUGGUAUACAGUAUGUUAGUAUGGGUAUUCGAACACAACUUAUUAUAAUUUUAGCUAGCAACCAAGAAAUAGCGUAGCGAUGUUUGAACAUUCUGUGAAGUUCACAUUCCAGGGCGAAUGGUGGCGAUAAAGCCUGACUAGUUGGUUUGGCCGUGCCUAAAAAAAUAUAUCAAAGAAGAAAAAAAAACAAUAUUGUGGUUUCCGGGACGUGACGAUCAUGGUUUCAGCGUACUUGCGUCCAUCCGGUUAUCGGUGUCCUGUGCGAAUGCUGGAGAGCUAUGGCGGCGUGCCGGGGAUCCUCGUCGAAAUGGUUUUUUACCCGGGAGCAGCUUGAAGCCACGCCGUCCCGCCGUACGGGAGUGGAGCCGGAUAGAGAGCUUUCUUACCGACAGCAGGCGGCAAACCUCAUUCAAGAUAUGGGCCAGAGACUCAACGUCUCACAACUUACUAUAAAUACAGCAAUUGUUUACAUGCAUAGAUUUUAUAUGUACCACUCUUUCACCAAAUUCCACAGAAAUAUCAUUUCUCCAACCACAUUAUUCCUAGCUGCAAAAGUUGAAGAGCAACCUCGGAAACUGGAGCAUGUCAUUAAGGUUUCACAUGCUUGUCUAAACCCUCAAGAGGCCCCGCUUGAUACGAAGAGUAAUGCAUACCUCCAGCAAGCUCAAGAGCUGGUGAUACUUGAAACCAUAGUACUGCAGACUUUAGGAUUUGAAAUAACUAUUGAACAUCCACACACUGAUGUGGUGAAAUGUUCCCAGCUAGUGAGAGCAAGCAAGGAUCUGGCACAGACUUCCUAUUUCAUGGCUACCAACAGGUUGUUAUCCUGACACCCCCCCCUGCCUUUUUGUUGCACUGUGACUACUGCACACUAUAGCUUCCUGUAAGCAGGGUACCCUUUCUGUGUCCAACGGCCCUCUAUGCGCCGAUGGCUUCUGGGACGCUAGCCCCCUCCACUGGGUGGGGUGGUUGGCGGUACCGGCCCUGGUCGCAGUGCGGUGUAUUGUACAAGGGACCAGAGUUGGCACAGUGGGGUUGAAUGCCCAAUGUGAAGUGUAGUCGUGGGCUUGAACCUCACGGUUGCUCGGUUGCAAAAGCGCAUAUGUCUAAAAAAAGAGACUUUGGUAGCCUGAAUAGCAGCUAAAGUUUACACAGACGUAAACAUAACUAGACGUCGUCCUGCCUCCACCUCACCACGUUCUGCCUGCAGCACAAGCCCACAGUCAUCGCCUGCGUCUGCAUCCACCUGGCCUGUAAAUGGUCCAACUGGGAGAUCCCCGUCUCCACUGAUGGGAAACACUGGUGGGAGUACGUGGACAACUCUGUCACGCUGGAGCUUCUCGAUGAACUGACACACGACUUCCUUCAGAUUCUGGAGAAGACGCCGAGCAGGUUGAAGAGGAUACGGAACUGGAGGGCCACACAAGCUGCCAAGAAGCCCAAGGGAGAUGGCUCUCAGGCGAACGACCCCUACCCAGGACCCUCCCUGGUCCACGAACAUUCCCUGGGAGACGGCAUCCCUGGGGUCUCCAACCCAGCCUUCUCCAAAGCAGCCUCCUCGUUCCCUGUCCCACUGCCGGGUCACGCCAGUGGACCCCUCUCCCUGGACUCCAUCGCCUCCAUGCAGGGCAGCUCCUACACCUUCACCGCCCCCAGCGACUGGCCCCAGGACAUGGGGGGUCGCUCGGAGGGAGGAGGCUAUUCCCUCAAAACAGAUACACUAGGCCUCCAGCAGGGGGCUUCACUGUCUCUGCAGCACGGCUCUCUGAACCCACACAGACCAGAUAAGACCAUGGAGUUCAACCCUAUUAAACAUGAACACAAGGCUGUAGCAGGGGGGGGGAAGCAGCAGCAACAGCCCCCGCCUGCCCAGAAAAUGUCCCUGGACAAGUACAGAGAGAAGCACGCUGCCGAGCUGGCGGUGCAGCAGAAACGCAAACAGACAGAGCAGCAGGCUAUGGAGCCUGAGGGCAGGGAUGCCUAUAUAUCCUCUGUCCAGUCAGACCACAGGAAACACAUGCAGCCCCACUCUAACCCAGGGAGCAGCAGCAGCAGCGGCACCACUUCAUCUCCUCUUAAAAUGAAGCUGGCCGUUUUAGGCCAAGACAGGCUCCCCUCUGACAAACGGGACAAGGGGGGCUCACUCAAACUCCGCCUCCCAGUUCCUUCUCAGGGGGGCGUGGCCAGCAAAGAGGAGCUGAAGAUGAAAAUCAAGGUGUCCUCUGAGCGCCACAGCUCUUCUGAUGAGGGUGGGCCCAAAAGCAAACAUUCCAGCCCGCUGGUGAGCAAGGAGAAGCAUCGGGACCAGUCUGCCCACCGCCACCACAAGCAGCACGGACACUCUCAGCUCCACGCAGCACAGCACAGCGGCAAUGGCCGGGGGGGCCUUGAGGGGCCAGCAGGUGUCGGGCCGGCCCUCCUCCGGAGCCCCCUGGGGCUAGGGAGCGUUGAGGGGUUGGCGGGCCCGGCCCUUGCUUCUGUUUCCAGUUCCUCCCGCAAGAGGGUACACCCCAACGUUGCCGGCCACAACCACCACUCCUCCAAAACGAGCAAAAGCUCCAAGGGCAGCGCAGGUGGGCUACGGACAUCUCAGCACCCUAGUGAAACUGGACAAGAAGCCAAUGGAGAGCCGCGGCCCUGAGGUCGCCGGCUGGGGUACUGCCAGCACCAAACAGACACUUUUGACAUGCUCCCAUUUCCUGUUAAGUGCCCAAGGAAUAAACUCAUGAACCCUUUAUAGCAAGGCAAUGGAAGGUAAAGCAAAAAAUAUAUAAAGCAAAGUGUAGGACAAAAAUAUAUAAUUAUGCUUCCCGAUCAUCUGAUCUCUUGGAGGUGCUGGUAUAGUACUGCCUGUUUCUGUAUCUGUAGCUGCUGCUUGGUCCUUAGUCCAUAUUCUCUGGAUGGGUCUUGAAAUGUGGACGUGAGUUAGUUGGUCAUCCUAGUUUCAAUGUUGAAAAAAGGUAUACUGAAAAGGCAUGAAAGAUGCAAUUUAUUUUCUUUUAAAUAAUUACAUUUCCACAACUAAUCCAGUGAGAAAACAAGGCAAGCGGUCCUCUUGUGACUGGAGGGCUUGUCAGUCGGGAGUAGAGAAGGAAGGCUGGGCACGCCAAACAUGGCCGCCAAUGGAAGCUGGAUAUAUAUAUAUUUUUUUUGAACACGUUUUUUUUAGUACUCAAUACUGUAUCGAUGAUCCGCAUGUUUCUAUCAUCAAAGGGAUAAAGCAGAAUGCAGACUGCUGUUUACAGAAAGUGGAGAUAAAUGUACAUACAUUUUUGUAUGUUUAAAAAGCUAUACCAUAAAUACUCAGGUUUGGAGCUGCUUGUAAGUAUAAGAUAUAUAUAUAUAUUAUAUAUGAUGGAGAAAGAGUAUUGUAACUUGAUGUAGGAGUCCUGUCAUUGGUGAUUCUGACUGCAGCGUUCCACUGUUGUGCUUAGAGCCUGUACUACGCAUGGCUGCCGGUAGAGUGCACUCGACCUUCGACCUUUCCAUCCCUUUGUAGGGUCUGGAUUUCCUCCAGUGCAGACCCUACAAACCGUACCAACCACCUGGCAUGUUGUCAGAGGCCAUGCAAUUUGUACAACAAUUGGGGGGGGGGACCUCCAAGAUGACCUAAAGCUGGAUGCCAAAGGCUGUGCCUCGCAACAAAAACAAAGGACACGAGGACAGUAAUACUAGUGCUAUAGUUUACAUGCCUAACCUUUGCUGUGAAGUGCAUUUACAUAAAAUGGUUGCUUGGCUUGACCCUGUAGCCGAUAGAUGCAAAGCUGUAAAUCAGUAAUGGUAAAUAAUGUAGGAUUGUUAAUGUUCAGUGACGUGGCCUGGUUAUUGGGCUUAACGGUCCGUUUCCUACUGGAUAUGGCAGAUAUCGUUCUCAAUUGUGGACACAAACUAAGAACUGUUCUUUGACUGGUUAGUUCUUAUUUCAGUGUGCAGACAGUUGGUAUUGAGGCCAAGAUGCUAUGUUCCACCAGUACUUAUACUCUUGGGCACAGACGGUGGUUUUGAAAACAAGAAGGCAAGUGCAAAUCUUGACAACUAGUUUUUAUUAUUUUAUUUAAGUUCUACAAAUAAAUCCUAAGGUUGACACUACCUUAACUUGA